AUUGAACGCUGGCGGUAGGCCUAACACAUGCAAGUCGAGCGGCAGCACAGUACGUGCUUGCGCUUACAGGUGGCGACGGGCGGGCAAGGCCUGGAUACCUCCGAGUCAGCUUUUUCGAAGGGGAUAACGUAGGGACACAUACGCCAAUACCCCAUACGACCUACGGGUGAAAGCAGGGGACCUUCCGCUCUUGCGUGAUUCGAUGUCGGAUUAUCUAGUUGGUGGGGUAAAGGCCUACCAAGGCGACGAUCCGUAGCUGGUCUGAGAGGAUGAUCAGCCACACUGGAACUGAGACACGGUCCAGACUCCUACGGGAGGCAGCAGUGGGGAAUAUUGGACAAUGGGCGCAAGCCUGAUCCAGCCAUACCGCGUGGGUGAAGAAGGCCUUCGGGUUGUAAAGCACUUUUGUUGGGGAAGAAGAGCAGCAGGUUAAUACCUCGCUGUUCUGACGUUACCCAAAGAAUAAGCACCGGCUAACUUCGUG
This 484-nucleotide ribosomal RNA is filed under the name uncultured bacterium. RNAcentral's name for it is "partial 16S ribosomal RNA". It matches the Rfam family "Bacterial small subunit ribosomal RNA", at positions 30 to 507 of the family's 1533-position model. The record is from RNAcentral.